Molecule: non-coding RNA, 93 nt
Organism: Mycena alexandri
Lineage: Eukaryota; Fungi; Basidiomycota; Agaricomycetes; Agaricales; Mycenaceae
Source: the annotation of a GenBank genome assembly
GGCUCGGUGGCACAGCGGUUAGUGCAUCUGCCAUUGAUGAAAUGAUAAAACAGGGCUCUGCAGAAGACGCCUGUUCGACUCGGGCCCGGGCCA